This 217-nucleotide long non-coding RNA is filed under the name Elaeis guineensis (African oil palm). RNAcentral describes it as "long non-coding RNA (EGUI_LNC047598)". The record is from RNAcentral. Lineage: Eukaryota; Viridiplantae; Streptophyta; Magnoliopsida; Arecales; Arecaceae.
GUUUAGACUUCCCUUGCAGGUCCCGGCGGCGACCGCGGCUUCCCUGACUCCAGCUUCUCCGGCGCAAGCGGAUUUUUGCACCAACAUGCCUAAACAAGGAGAGAGACGGCUGGACCUCGACUACGUGGCAGAGGGAGAGAAAUCCUAUCAAAAACCUAAAAGAAUUAGGGGCCAUGGAAGCCAAGGAGAUGUCCAAGAAACGGAAGAGGGCAACGAC